CUUCCAGUAGCACCUUAGAGACCAACUAAGUUUGUUAUUGGUAUGAGCUUUCAUGUGCAUGGACACGAAAGCUCAUACCAAUAACAAACUUAGUUGGUCUCUAAGGUGCUACUGGAAG
This is a non-coding RNA of Podarcis lilfordi (Lilford's wall lizard), 118 nucleotides long. The record is from the annotation of a GenBank genome assembly. Lineage: Eukaryota; Metazoa; Chordata; Lepidosauria; Squamata; Lacertidae.